RNAcentral lists this ribosomal RNA (387 nucleotides) under uncultured bacterium glc16. Its description in RNAcentral is "bacterial SSU rRNA". It matches the Rfam family "Bacterial small subunit ribosomal RNA", at positions 1131 to 1515 of the family's 1533-position model. The record is from RNAcentral.
UUGGGGACUCAUGGGAGACUGCCGGGGUCAACUCGGAGGAAGGUGGGGAUGACGUCAAAUCAUCAUGCCCCUUAUGUCUUGGGCUUCACGCAUGCUACAAUGGCCAGUACAAUGGGCUGCGAAACCGUGAGGUGGAGCGAAUCCCAAAAAACUGGUCUCAGUUCGGAUUGGGGUCUGCAACUCGACCCCAUGAAGUCGGAGUCGCUAGUAAUCGCAGAUCAGCAACGCUGCGGUGAAUACGUUCCCGGGCCUUGUACACACCGCCCGUCAAGUCACGAAAGUCGGUAACACCCGAAGCCGGUGGCCUAACCCUUGUGGGGGGAGCCGUCGAAGGUGGGACUGGCGAUUGGGACUAAGUCGUAACAAGGUAGCCGUACCGGAAGGUGC